RNAcentral lists this ribosomal RNA (497 nucleotides) under uncultured bacterium. RNAcentral describes it as "partial 16S ribosomal RNA". It matches the Rfam family "Bacterial small subunit ribosomal RNA", at positions 28 to 507 of the family's 1533-position model. The record is from RNAcentral.
GAUGAACGCUGGCGGCGUGCCUAAUACAUGCAAGUCGAGCGAACAGACGAGGAGCUUGCUCCUCUGACGUUAGCGGCGGACGGGUGAGUAACACGUGGAUGACCUACCUAUAAGACUGGGAUAACUUCGGGAAACCGGAGCUAAUACCGGAUAAUAUAUUGAACUGCAUGGUUCAAUAGUGAAAGACGGUUUUGCUGUCACUUAUAGAUGGAUCCGCGCCGCAUUAGCUAGUUGGUAAGGUAACGGCUUACCAAGGCAACGAUGCGUAGCCGACCUGAGAGGGUGAUCGGCCACACUGGAACUGAGACACGGUCCAGACUCCUACGGGAGGCAGCAGUAGGGAAUCUUCCGCAAUGGGCGAAAGCCUGACGGAGCAACGCCGCGUGAGUGAUGAAGGUCUUCGGAUCGUAAAACUCUGUUAUUAGGGAAGAACAAAUGUGUAAGUAACUAUGCACGUCUUGACGGUACCUAAUCAGAAAGCCACGGCUAACUACGUG